Molecule: ribosomal RNA, 863 nt
Filed under: uncultured Anaerococcus sp.
Lineage: Bacteria; Bacillati; Bacillota; Tissierellia; Tissierellales; Peptoniphilaceae
Description: bacterial SSU rRNA
Rfam family: Bacterial small subunit ribosomal RNA
Source: RNAcentral
GAUUAACGCUGGCGGCGUGCAUAACACAUGCAAGUCGAACGAUGAAACUUAAAUGAUCUCUUCGGAGUGAAUUUAAGUGGAUUAGUGGCGGACGGGUGAGUAACGCGUGAGUAACCUGCCUUAGAGAAGGGGAUAGCCUUUGGAAACGAAGAAUAAUACCCUAUGAAACCAUAACCUCGCAUGAGGCCUUGGUCAAAGAUUUAUCGCUCUAAGAUGGACUUGCGUCUGAUUAGUUAGUUGGUGGGGUAACGGCCCACCAAGACAGCGAUCAGUAGCCGGCUUGAGAGAGUGUACGGCCACAUUGGGACUGAGACACGGCCCAGACUCCUACGGGAGGCAGCAGUGGGGAAUUUUGCACAAUGGGGGAAACCCUGAUGCAGCGACGCCGCGUGAUUUAGAAGGCCUUCGGGUUGUAAAAAUCUUUUCUAUGGGAAGAAAAUGACAGUACCAUAGGAAUAAGGACCGGCUAAUUACGUGCCAGCAGCCGCGGUAAUACGUAAGGUCCGAGCGUUGUCCGGAAUCAUUGGGCGUAAAGGGUACGUAGGCGGGUAAGCAAGUUAGAAGUGAAAUCCUAUAGCUCAACUAUAGUAAGCUUUUAAAACUGCUCAUCUUGAGGUAUGGAAGGGAAAGUGGAAUUCCUAGUGUAGCGGUGAAAUGCGCAGAUAUUAGGAGGAAUACCGGUGGCGAAGGCGACUUUCUGGCCAUAACCUGACGCUGAGGUACGAAAGCGUGGGUAUCAACAGGAUUAUAUACCCUGGUAGUCCAAGGGCGAAUUCCACAGUGGAUAUCAAGCUUAUCGAUACCGUCGACCUCGAGGGGGGGCCCGGUACCCAGCUUUUGUUCCCCUUUAAUGAGGGAUAUUA